CCCCUUAGUAAUGAUGAGACAAUCACCUACCUCCUCGCUGGUCUCGGUCCAGAUUAUAACCCUUUUGUUACUUCCAUGACGACCAAGAGCGAGGCUUUAUCUCUUGAUGAUGUGUAUGCAUAUAUGAUGGCGUUUGAAGC
Small nucleolar RNA from Dioscorea cayenensis subsp. rotundata (Guinea yam), 140 nucleotides. RefSeq annotates it as small nucleolar RNA Z247. The transcript has a single exon. NCBI's taxonomy places the organism in Eukaryota, Viridiplantae, Streptophyta, Magnoliopsida, Dioscoreales, Dioscoreaceae. The record is from RefSeq and is a predicted model, not a curated record.